GAGGGUAUAGCUCGGUGGUAGAGCACUUGCCUAGCAUGUGUGAGGCCCUGGGUUCGGUCCCUGCCCCCUCA
RNAcentral lists this transfer RNA (71 nucleotides) under Fukomys damarensis (Damara mole-rat). It matches the Rfam family "tRNA". From Rfam's summary of the family: Transfer RNA (tRNA) molecules are approximately 80 nucleotides in length. Their secondary structure includes four short double-helical elements and three loops (D, anti-codon, and T loops). The record is from Rfam by way of RNAcentral. Lineage: Eukaryota; Metazoa; Chordata; Mammalia; Rodentia; Bathyergidae.